Molecule: unclassified non-coding RNA, 974 nt
Filed under: Amphibalanus amphitrite
Lineage: Eukaryota; Metazoa; Arthropoda; Thecostraca; Balanomorpha; Balanidae
Description: cytochrome c oxidase assembly factor 8-like, transcript variant X4
Source: RNAcentral
AAAAUUAUUUGAACGGAUAUUGAUAUAGCACAAUUUAGGAAAUAUGGAAGACUCACAGAAGCCAGAACCACCAUUUUUACCCAAGCAUAUAAAGGAGAACUGGAUUGGUCCCCCAGAUCCAGUGUCCAAGAUCAGGCCAAUAAGGCAUUUUAUUCCGGAAAAUGAAACAGUAAUUGAAAAACUGUUAAGAGAAAAGCAUGCUAAUGUUCUUGAAUGGAAUCAUACCUACUGGAAGAAACACAACAAGGCCUUCAAGCGGGAGCGUCGCCAGUUCGUGGAGCAGCUCCAGGAGCGUCAGGGUGCCGACACGGCAGUCACCGACGAUCAGAUGGCCGACUUCUACCGUGACUUUAUGGAGCGCAACCAGCGCAAACACCGCCAGUACAACCUGCAGUGGUACGGCCACAGCGCUCGGCUGCUCGGCCUGGCCGGCCUGGUGGCGCCACUGCGGCUCCUGAGGGCGCUGCGCCUGCUCCGGUGACCGCGUGGGUCGUGAGAGUGUCAGAGCACACCUCUGGUGACUCCCCUGUGAGUAGCCCACUUGUGAAUAUAGCUCAUUUAUGCCAGUAAGUUAACCUCCACUGUUUUCUGACCUUUGAGGAUUGAGAAUAGCUCACUUGUGCCAGAAAGUUGACCAGUCUACUAUCUAACCUAUGCAGAUAGCUCAUUUCUGCGAAUUGUUGACAUGUUCUGCAGAAGGCUUUCCUGUACAAUUUGCUCACAUCUGUGGGUAGCUCAAAAGGGUGGUCAUCGCAUUUGCAGACAAUCCCUGAUAACUAAAGCUACUGACGUUUGCUGGGGUUGAGGCGUAAGCCGCAUGGUAUAGUGAUGUUGAUGUGAUACGACUGUGUGUGCUGGAGCUUGAUUUGUUAAAGUGUAGGUUGCAAGUGGGCAUUGGCUGGUGGCAAGAGUUUUUUAGGUAUCGGUUGCAUAUAUGCAAAUACCUUGGACGUUUCUGUGACGAUGUGCGCCAC